This 444-nucleotide ribosomal RNA is filed under the name uncultured Glomeromycotina. RNAcentral's name for it is "SSU rRNA". It matches the Rfam family "Eukaryotic small subunit ribosomal RNA", at positions 569 to 1016 of the family's 1831-position model. Lineage: Eukaryota; Fungi; Glomeromycota. The record is from RNAcentral.
AGCAGCCGCGGUAAUUCCAGCUCCAAUAGCGUAUAUUAAAGUUGUUGCAGUUAAAAAGCUCGUAGUUGAAUUUCGGGGUCAAUACGUCGGUCGUGCCUUCGGUACGUACUGGUGUUAUUGAUCUCUCCCUUCUGAUGAAUCAUGAUGUCAUUAAUUUGGUGUCGUGGGGAGUCAGGACUGUUACUUUGAAAAAAUUAGAGUGUUUAAAGCAGGCUCACGCUUGAAUACAUUAGCAUGGAAUAAUGAAAUAGGACGUUCGAUUCUAUUUUGUUGGUUUCUAGGAUCAACGUAAUGAUUAAUAGGGAUAGUUGGGGGCAUUAGUAUUCAAUUGUCAGAGGUGAAAUUCUUUGGACUUAUUGAAGACUAACUACUGCGAAAGCAUUUGCCAAGGAUGUUUUCAUUAAUCAAGAACGAAAGUUAGGGGAUCGAAGACGAUCAGAUACC